CCGUCGACUUUAUAAAUCGUGAGGGUUCAAGUCCCUCUAUCCCCA
Molecule: transfer RNA, 45 nt
Filed under: Muiriantha hassellii
Lineage: Eukaryota; Viridiplantae; Streptophyta; Magnoliopsida; Sapindales; Rutaceae
Also listed under: 8 other names
Description: partial tRNA-Leu
Source: RNAcentral